GCCUGGGUGGCUCAGUCAGUUAAGCGUCUGACUUUUGAUCAGAUCUCAUGGUUUGUGAGUUCAAGCCCCAGAUCAGGCU
RNAcentral lists this transfer RNA (79 nucleotides) under Felis catus (domestic cat). It matches the Rfam family "tRNA". From Rfam's summary of the family: Transfer RNA (tRNA) molecules are approximately 80 nucleotides in length. Their secondary structure includes four short double-helical elements and three loops (D, anti-codon, and T loops). The record is from Rfam by way of RNAcentral. Lineage: Eukaryota; Metazoa; Chordata; Mammalia; Carnivora; Felidae.